CCUUCGGGUGGCAGCAGUGAGGAAUAUUUGUCAAUGGGCUUACGCCUGAACCAGCCAAGUCGCGUGAGGGAAGACUGCCCUAUGGGUUGUAAACCUCUUUUGUCAGGGAGCAAUUGGCGCUACGUGUAGCGUUCUCGAGAGUACCUGAAGAAAAAGCAUCGGCUAACUCCGUGCCAGCAGCCGCGGUAAUACGGAGGAUGCGAGGGUUAUCCGGAUUUAUUGGUUUUAAAGGGUGCGUAGGCGGAAUGCCAAGUCAGCGGUAAAAUCGCGGGGCUCAACCUCGCUCCGCCGUUGAAACUGGCGGUCUUGAGUGGGCGAGAAGUAUGCGGAAUGCGUGGUGUAGCGGUGAAAUGCAUAGAUAUCACGCAGAACUCCGAUUGCGAAGGCAGCAUACCGGCGCCCAACUGACGCUGAAGCACGAAAGCGUGGGUAUCGAACAGGAUUAGAUACCCUUGUAGUC
RNAcentral lists this ribosomal RNA (460 nucleotides) under uncultured bacterium. RNAcentral's name for it is "partial 16S ribosomal RNA". It matches the Rfam family "Bacterial small subunit ribosomal RNA", at positions 338 to 795 of the family's 1533-position model. The record is from RNAcentral.